UUGCUGGGCUUUAGUUUCCUUGGGCCUUAGAGGUUCGUUUGUUUUUUUUUUUUCAUAUUUGGGCUGCAGGUCUGGUUCUAUAAGCUUCCCCUUUUUUUUAAUGAAUCUACUGCUAGCUUUAGGAAAAAAAAUCAAUUAAGCCUAUUCCUGCAUACCAUAUAGUUAAGUGGUGUAUUACGUACCCAUAUCAUGUGAUUAAAAAUGUACGGCGUUCCAGAUAAUUUCGUGUGGAACGGAAGAGGAAAAACAUCUGUGUGCAAAAUCUUUUAAUCUGAAGAUGGGAGGGUUUUCUAAACGACGAUAAGUUAGAGAAAAGUCCAAGCGAUCAACAACCCUUUUCUUUCUAAUCCAUUGACUUUACAUUUAACAUAAUCUGCAAGUGAAGAUCUUCAGGAGUCUUUUUUCCUAAUCUAAGUAGGUCAUUUUUUUUAUAAGAGGCUUUGACUUUUUGCUACACAAAUGAGCAUUUAAUUGGUUAAUUACUGCCAUUUGGUCCUCUGCUUUUGAACUGCCAAUUGCCUUUGUCUCACGAUUGUGCAAAGUGAUGCCUCCAAAAUAUAUCAACCAAAGAAAAUCUCUCAGUAUCUAUAUUAAGGUUGCAUUUAUGAUGAGGGGGAAUUCUGGCAUUCCUUGUUGGAUGAAGGCGUGCUGCUAUUAUCCAAAGAGCCAGAGAUCAAGUUUAUACCUUUUGCUGUCCAGCAUUAGGUCUCCGC
Molecule: unclassified non-coding RNA, 713 nt
Filed under: Hevea brasiliensis (rubber tree)
Lineage: Eukaryota; Viridiplantae; Streptophyta; Magnoliopsida; Malpighiales; Euphorbiaceae
Source: RNAcentral